This 497-nucleotide ribosomal RNA is filed under the name uncultured bacterium. RNAcentral describes it as "partial 16S ribosomal RNA". It matches the Rfam family "Bacterial small subunit ribosomal RNA", at positions 28 to 507 of the family's 1533-position model. The record is from RNAcentral.
GAUGAACGCUGGCGGCAGGCCUAAUACAUGCAAGUCGAACGAACAGACGAGGAGCUUGCUCCUCUGACGGUAGCGGCGGACGGGUGAGUAACACGUGCAUAACCUACCUAUUAGACUGGGAUAACUUCGUGAAACCGCAUCUAAUACCAGCUAAUAUAUUGAACCGCAUGAAUCAAUAGUUAAAUACGGUUUGGGUGUCACUUAUAGAUGUAUUCGGGCCGCAUUAGCGACUUGGUAAGGUAACGGCUUACCAAGGCAACGAUGCGUAGCCGACCUGAGAGGGUGAUCGGCCACACUGGAACUGAGACACGGUCCAGACUCCUACGGGAGGCAGCAGUAGGGAAUCUUGCGCAAUGGGCGAAAGCCUGAGGGAGCAACACCGCGUGAGUGAUGAAGGUCUUCGGAUCGUAAAACUCUGUUGUUAGGGAAGAAAAAAUGUGUAAGUAACUCUGCAUGUCUUGACGGUACCUAAUGAGAAAGCCACGGCUAACUUCGUG